Molecule: RNA transcript, 5994 nt
Organism: Mauremys reevesii (Reeves's turtle)
Lineage: Eukaryota; Metazoa; Chordata; Testudines; Geoemydidae
Gene name: ATP-dependent translocase ABCB1-like
Exons: 30
Source: RefSeq, a predicted model, not a curated record
CUUUGGGCGGGGGUAACUGUGGGGAAGGAGUCACUGCCAGGAGAUGUGGAAAGGGGGCCCCAGAGCGUUACCUUGAAACCUGAUCCCCCGGGAUGUGGCGGAAGGGAAACAAGGUAGCUGAAAAGUGGGCGGCCGGCAGCAGCCUGCUGUUUAUAAGGGGCAGGGGGAAGCGGGCACGGAGGUUUAGGCAGAGCAGCGUCUGGGACACACCACAGCGGGGAGUCUGCCUGGGGCAGGGAGCGGAGGCAGGUGCGGGCGCUCCGCAGUCACAGCCGGGCUGGGAGCAGCGCAGGGAGCAGCGGGCAGAUUUGACCCAAAGUGAUUUACUUCUGCAAGUCUAAGAACCAUGCAACAGAAUAACACCAUGAAGGAUGAUUUCAUAAAUUACACAGAAAAGGAACCACCUAAUCCUAGCAAGUUUUUUGAAUCUGCAAGUAAUGGCUAUGACAAUCCUGCUUUCCAACAUGAUGAAAAACCUGAGAAAAAUUACGAGUUACAGAAGAACAAGAAAAAAAAGAAAAAUGAGGAGUCAAAGGAAAAGAUGGUUGGCAUUUUGAAAUUGUUUGUGUAUGCCGAUUGGCUGGAUAUCAUUUUGAUGAUAAUAGGCUUGAUUGCAGCUGUUGCAAAUGGAACAGGGCUGCCACUUACUAUCAUUGUCAUUGGAGAGAUGACAAACAGAUUUGUGAUGAUUGGCCAAGCAGGAAAUAUGUCUUCAGUUAAUCUUUCAGCUGUGAUGAAUAGUAGCUCUACUUGUCCAGCAAUGCCAGGUUUGGAUAUAGAAGCUGAAAUGACCAGGUUUGCCUACUACUAUGCGGGUAUUGGCUUUGCUGUAGUGAUACUGAGCACCAUCCAAGUCUGGACAUUUUUGACCUCAGCUGCAAGACAGACAGCAAGAAUCCAACAAAAGUUUUUUUUCGCCAUACUUCACCAGGAGAUGGCUUGGUUUGAUACCAGCCAGAUUGGAACAUUGAACACCCGACUGACGGAUGACAUUAACACCAUCCACGAAGGCAUCGGAGACAAGUUCUGUAUAUCUGUACAAUUCUUUGCCACGUUUCUCACAGGGAUUGUUAUAGGAUUCAUCUACGGGUGGAAAAUGACUUUGGUGAUGUUGUCAGUUAGCCCUCUCCUUACUGCAACAGCAGCAAUUGGAUCAAUCUUCCUGUCAUCAUUCACUACAAAAGAGCUGACUGCUUAUGCUAGAGCAGGAGCUGUGGCGGAAGAAAUUUUGACUUCUAUCAGAACAGUCAUUGCUUUCAAUGGACAGAUGAAGGCAUCAGCAAAAUAUGAUGUUAACCUGGAGAAUGCUAGGAAAGCUGGGGUCAAAAAAUCCAUUACCACCUACACAUCUUUUGGUUUCACAGAGUUUAUUUUCUUUGGAGCCUUUGCUCUUGCAUUUUGGUAUGGAACCAAACUCACAGUGGAGGAGAAAGAGAAUUAUGACAUUGGACGUGUGCUAAUUGUAUUACUCUCUGUGGUCCGUAGCACAUUCUUUCUCGGACAGGGCUCCCUACACUUGGAGAGUGUUGCCAAUGCUCGAGGUGCUGCCUAUGAGGUGUACAAGGUCAUCAGUAAGCACCGUCUUCUAGAUAGCAGUUCCAAGGAAGGAUACAGACCAGACAAGCUCAAAGGAGAGAUUGAAUUCAAAAACAUCCAUUUCAGUUACCCAUCUAGACCUGAUGUUAAAAUUCUCAAGGGCCUGAACCUGAAAGUUCAAUCGGGGAAGACCAUCGCUCUGGUUGGCUCCAGUGGCUGUGGCAAAAGUACUGCUAUUCAGCUGCUACAGAGAUUCUAUGAUCCAGUCCAAGGAGAGAUUACCUUAGAUGGACAAGAUAUUCGGACACUUAAUAUAAAGUGGCUAAGAGAACGUAUUGGCCUUGUAAGCCAGGAGCCUAUUUUGUUUGCUACAACAAUAGCUGAGAACAUUCGCUGUGGCAGAGAGGAUAUUACUGAUUCUGAAAUUGAGAAAGCAGCUAAAGAAGCCAAUGCUUUUGAUUUUAUAUCCAGACUGCCUGAUAAAUUUAACACCAUGGUGGGGGAAAGGGGAGCUCAGCUGAGUGGAGGGCAGAAACAGCGAAUUGCUAUUGCCCGUGCCCUGGCAAGGAAUCCCAGGAUUCUGCUGCUGGAUGAAGCCACGUCUGCUCUGGACACUCAGAGUGAAUCUGUUGUGCAAGCAGCUCUUGAUAAGGCUAGGGCUGGACGUACCACCAUUGUGAUAGCUCACCGGCUCUCCACAGUCCGAACAGCUGACAUUAUCGCUGGAUUUCACAACGGUGUUGUUGUUGAACAGGGAACACACAGUCAACUCAUGACACAGAAGGGUGUCUACUAUUCUCUUGUGAUGCAGCAGGAUCAUGGUGGAAACACUCAAAAUGAGAUAUCAGAAAAUGAUGAAAAGACAGAAGAUGAAGACUAUGGGGAAGAGGAGCUAGAGGAUCUCAGGAUGGAGAACCUGACUGAUCUUGGUGGUUUUGAAGAACCAGGAAUCAUUGAGAUGGGAAGCAUUCCUAAGAGAUCCAGAAGGCAUAAAAGCAGAAAGACCUCUUCUAAGAAAAAGUCAUCUGAAAAGAAGAAAACAAAGGAGAAAGAGGAGGAAAAUCUCCCUGCUGUGCCUUAUUCCAGAAUCCUGGCUCUGAACAAACCUGAGUGGCUGCAUAUAUUCUUUGGUGUGAUUGCUGCUGCCUUCUCUGGUGGCGUCCACCCUGCAUUUGCAGUUAUAUAUGGAAAAAUCGUUGGGGCUUUUGAAGAAACAGAUCCUGAAAAAAGGAGCAAAAACACCACGUUGCUUUCUCUAAUGUUUCUUGUCCUGGCAGUGAUCAGCUUAGUAACACACAUCAUCCAGGGAUUCAUGUUUGGAAAGUCUGGGGAAGUUCUGACCAAGAGAUUGCGAUCUUUGUCAUUCAAAGCAUUGCUUCAGCAGGAGAUUGGCUGGUACGACGAUGCUAAAAAUGCCAUAGGGGUUUUGUUAACCAGACUAGCUACAGACGCUUCACAGAUCAAAGGGGCUACCGGAAGCCGACUUGGCUUGUUGACUAAGACUGCCUCUACCCUUCUGUCCGCCAUCAUUAUUGCCUUUGUAUAUGACUGGCGAUUAACUUUGCUUAUCCUGGCCUGCAUUCCUUUCAUUAUUGCUGCAAAUGCUAUUAGACUGAUCUCUGUGGCUGGUCAUGCGUCAAAAGAUCAAAAAGCUUUGGAAGAGGCCGGCAGAAUUUCAGUGGAAGCAGUUGAAAAUAUAAGAACUGUGGCUUCAUUAACUAGUGAAGAUGCAUUCUAUGAGAAAUAUAAUGCAAGUUUGAAUGGUCCAUAUAGGGACUCUCUAACAAAAGCCCCCCUAUAUGGACUUACCUAUGGAACAGUCCAAUGUGCAAUCUACUUUCUUGAGGCAGCAAUCUUCAGAUUUGGGGCAUGGCUCAUUGCUAAUUGUUAUACAAACUUUGAAAAUGUAUUUAUAGCCUUUUUUUCAGUUCUAUAUGGUAUUAUAAAUGUUGGGCUGUCCACUUCUUUGGCACCAGAUUUCAGCAAAGCUAAAGUUUCUGCCCAACAAAUCUUUCAGCUUUUGGAUCGGAAACCCUUAAUUGACAGCUAUAGUGAAGAGGGUACAAAACUGAGUCAGUUUGAUGGCAACAUUGAAUUCAGGGACAUCCAUUUUGUAUACCCUACAAGACCAGAAGCUCAAGUUUUGCAAGGACUCAACGUGAAGGUUAAUAAAGGCCAGACACUAGCCUUGGUGGGGAGCAGUGGUUGUGGCAAAAGCACAUCCAUUCAGCUGCUGGAGAGAUUUUAUGACCCUAUGGCAGGACAAGUGUUUGCAGAUGGAUUCGAUACCAAGUCUUUGCAUUUGCGAUGGUUAAGGUCCAAAUUGGGUAUUGUGUCCCAGGAGCCUAUUUUGUUUGACUGCAGCAUUGCUGAAAAUAUCCAGUACGGAGAGAACGGUAGGGUUGUCAGUCAGGAGGAAGUUGAAGAGGCAGCUAAAGCAGCAAAUAUUCACACCUUCAUAGAAAAUCUCCCAGAGAAGUAUAAUACCCAAGUGGGUGACAAAGGAGCACAACUUUCUGGAGGUCAGAAACAAAGAAUAGCAAUUGCUCGUACUCUAGUUCGUAAGCCAGCAGUUCUGCUUCUAGAUGAAGCCACAUCUGCUCUUGACACAGAAAGCGAAAAGAUUGUCCAGAAAGCCUUGGACGAUGCCAGGAAGGGUCGAACCUGCAUUAUUAUUGCUCACCGCUUGACGACCGUCCAGAACGCUGAUGUCAUAGCAGUGAUUCAUAAUGGAAAAGUAGUGGAACAAGGGACUCACAGCCAGCUGCUGGCAAAGGAAGGACAUUACUAUGCACUUGUAAAUGCACAAGUUUCUCAUUAACAUUAAUGUUACAAACUAAUCUAUUUAUAUAAAUACACACACAACCCACAGAUAAAUAAUAUUAAUGAGGUGCAUCCUUACUGAGAUGUCUGCAGGUUUAAAACACGUAGUAAAAAACAGAGCAGAGACAUUUAUUUCUUCAUUGUCUCACAGCUUUAGAGUUACUUAGUCCUAUUGGUAAAAUCCUUUGGGGCGUGUUGGUUAAUUUUAAACUGCUUUUAUAUUAAUGAUUACAAGCCUUUCAUGGAAAUAUAUAUUGACAAAAUAGAUCACAAACUGUUUGUUUAUAAAGUAUUGUUAAAACCUGUAUUAUUGACCUAACAGAACUUACUGGUUCUUUGGAAACCAUUAAGGCUAUUUCCAAAAGAUUUAAAAAUAAUUAUUAUUGGCCCAAUGACCAUGAUGGCUCCUUUUGGAGCUGAUUAAUGUCAACCAUGUAAACAGCUAUUUAACAAACAACUGUGUGUGUGGGGGGGUAGGGGUUACCAUUGAUAGAUUUAAACAUUUUUUUCAGCUUUUUCAAUGGAGUUUUAGAAAUGUUGAUUGAUCCAUGUAUAGUCAUAGUGGUAUACACAGCUCUGUUAUAAUAUUAUAUUAUCAGAGUGUUUUCCCUUUAAUAUAGUUAACCAUCAUGCUUAAACAACAGUUGAGGAACAUAUCUCAUCUACUUAUUGAGAGAGAGACAGACAGACUCGGGCAGCCCUGUUUUGGGUUUGCUUCUGGCAAACUCACCUUUUGGUUUGCCAAGGACAAAAUCAAAACCACUUUUGGUUUUUGUUUAGUAUUUACACCCUACAGGAGCUUGGAAUAUUUCACACUUUCAGAUGCCUCUGCUUAUUUGUGACAGACAGAAAUUAAAAAUAAUUAUAAUGUCUUUUGCCCCUUUGUUUCCCUGCUUCAGGGUCUAUGACGGGAAACAAAAUAUAAAACGUUUAAGCUUUGCUCUCACCCUCGCCAAAAUACAUCUGGUCAGUUUCUGCUGGCAUCACCAUGACCUAUGCAGGAAAGUGACUUUUCACUUCUGGUUAUAGAGAAAUCACUAGCUGUUCUCACAGUAUUUCUCCAUUAUCCAAACUGGAAUCAAAUGUCUCCCUUUGUCUGGUUUUGUUUUUACACUGGAACCAAUUGUUAAGUCUGUUUACUGUAAAGGUGAAGCGUGUAAUAAAGAAUGUGGAAAAUCAUUCCGAUAUUACACGGAGAGGAUUGCCAAACUUAGUUUAUUUUAAGGCCAUGCAAUGUAUGAACUAUAGAACAUCUGUAGUUAGUUAAUGGGAUCUCAUAGUCACAUCAACACAGAUAAUGUAGAGUAGAGGCCAAAAUGCUUCACUACUCAAGCUGCUUCCAAUUUGAUAACUUUGAUCUUGUUUUAAUAGAGCUGGGCAAAACAUUUGAGGAGACAUGCACAAUUGGACGUUAAAGGUUUAGAAAAGGGCUUUGCGUUGGUCAACUGAGAGUACAUAUGAGCUUCCACAUCCAUUACAUAUGCUGUACAGGAAGAUAAUUGUACGUAUACCUUUCUUGGCAUGUUGCUUAAUGUUGUUCAUCAGUGCAUUCUUCUGUGGCAAUAGCCAGCCAAAUUCAAUCAAGUCUGUACUGCUGGAAAAAUCAUUUUGAAAUAAAAGGCCAGCUGGGGUCAA